This 684-nucleotide ribosomal RNA is filed under the name uncultured Nitrososphaerota archaeon. RNAcentral's name for it is "bacterial SSU rRNA". It matches the Rfam family "Archaeal small subunit ribosomal RNA", at positions 69 to 756 of the family's 1478-position model. Lineage: Archaea; Thermoproteati; Nitrososphaerota. The record is from RNAcentral.
CAGCAAUGCGUGGCAUACGGCUCAGUAACACGUAGUCAACAUGCCCAGGGGACGUGGAUAACCUCGGGAAACUGAGGAUAAACCGCGAUAGGCCAAGGUUUCUGGAAUGGACACUGGCUGAAACCUAUAUGGCCCCUGGAUUGGACUGCGGCCGAUCAGGCUGUUGGUGAGGUAAUGGCCCACCAAACCUGUAACCGGUGCGGGCUUUGAGAGAAGGAGCCCGGAGAUGGGCACUGAGACAAGGGCCCAGGCCCUAUGGGGCGCAGCAGGCGCGAAAAUUCUGCAAUAGGCGAAAGCUUGACAGAGUUACUCUGAGUGAUGCCCGCUAAGGGCAUCUUUUGGCACCUCUAAAAAUGGUGCAGAAUAAGGGGUGGGCAAGUCUGGUGUCAGCCGCCGCGGUAAUACCAGCACCCCGAGUGGUCGGGACGAUUAUUGGGCCUAAAGCAUCCGUAGCUUGUUCUGCAAGUCUUCCGUUAAAUCCACCUGCUCAACAGAUGGGCUGCGGGAGAUACUACAGGGCUAGGAGGCGGGAGAGGCAAGCGGUACUCAGUGGGUAGGGGUAAAAUCCUCUGAUCCACUGAAGACCACCAGUGGCGAAGGCGGCUUGCCAGAACGCGCUCGACGGUGAGGGAUGAAAGCUGGGGGAGCAAACCGGAUUAGAUACCCGGGUAGUCCCAGCUGUAA